GGAAUAUUGGACAAUGGGCGCAAGCCUGAUCCAGCCACGCCGCGUGCGCGAUGAAGGCCUUCGGGUCGUAAAGCGCUUUUCUGGAGGACGAGAAGGGACGGUACCCCAGGAAGAAGGCUCGGCUAACUACGUGCCAGCAGCCGCGGUAAAACGUAGGAGCCUAGCGUUAUCCGAAUUUACUGGGCGUAAAGCGCGUGCAGGCGGCUUGGUAAGUCGGCUGUGAAAUCUCCCGGCUCAGCUGGGAGGGGACGGUCAAGACUGCCAGGCUGGAGGCAGGGAGAGGGAGGUGGAAUUCCCGGUGUAGUGGUGAAAUGCGUAGAGAUCGGGAGGAACACCAGUGGCGAAAGCGGCCUCCUGGCCCUGACCUGACGCUGAGACGCGAAAGCUAGGGGAGCAAA
Molecule: ribosomal RNA, 398 nt
Filed under: uncultured bacterium
Lineage: Bacteria
Description: bacterial SSU rRNA
Rfam family: Bacterial small subunit ribosomal RNA
Source: RNAcentral